This is a long non-coding RNA of Gastrolobium bilobum, 294 nucleotides long. RefSeq lists it as uncharacterized. The transcript has 3 exons. The record is from RefSeq and is a predicted model, not a curated record. Lineage: Eukaryota; Viridiplantae; Streptophyta; Magnoliopsida; Fabales; Fabaceae.
AGGUACCGAAUCAAACUUCAGAACCAUCAUUUGAUAGUAGCAAGGCUUUUACAGGCUCCAUCAUAGAGCAUGCUGAGAAUGUUCAAACAACUUCAAGAGAACAAAGAUCAACUUCCUUACAGGUUCCUGAUUCUCAAUAUUCAAAACCAGUCUCCAGAUUCAAAAUGCAGAGAAGAUAGCUACAAUAAUAUGAGAAGGUUGUUUGAAGCUUUUCUUAUUGGACAAUCUAAUGGUGGUGGCAUCCAUUAUGGUUCAAGGAUGUGCUUGUUAGAAUCAAAAGCAGAAAAAGUAAAA